UACAGAGGUCUCAAGCGUUGUUCGGAUUCAUUGGGCGUAAAGGGUGCGUAGGUGGCGAGGUUAGUCAGGUGUGAAAUCUCGGGGCUCAACCCCGAAACUGCACUUGAUACUGCCUUGCUAGAGUACUGGAGAGGAGAUUGGAAUUUACGGUGUAGCAGUGAAAUGCGUAGAUAUCGUAAGGAAGACCAGUGGCGAAGGCGAAUCUCUGGACAGUUACUGACACUGAGGCACGAAGGCCAGGGGAGCAAAC
RNAcentral lists this ribosomal RNA (250 nucleotides) under uncultured bacterium. RNAcentral's name for it is "partial 16S ribosomal RNA". It matches the Rfam family "Bacterial small subunit ribosomal RNA", at positions 524 to 773 of the family's 1533-position model. The record is from RNAcentral.